RNAcentral lists this ribosomal RNA (400 nucleotides) under phytoplankton environmental sample. Its description in RNAcentral is "partial small subunit ribosomal RNA". It matches the Rfam family "Eukaryotic small subunit ribosomal RNA", at positions 587 to 985 of the family's 1831-position model. The record is from RNAcentral.
AGCUCCAAUAGCGUAUAUUAAUGUUGUUGCAGUUAAAAAGCUCGUAGUUGGAUUUCUGCGUGGCGCAACUCGGUCCGCCGCACUGCGGUGCGACUGUGGUUGGAGCCUCGCUUCUUUGUGGGGACUACUUGUGCCAUUAAUUUGGUGUAUUUAGGAACUGCAUCGUUUACUGUGAAAAAAUUAGAGUGUUCAAAGCAGGCUGUCACAGCCCGAAUACAUGAGCAUGGAAUAAUGGAAUAGGACCGCGGUUCUAUUUUGUUGGUUUCUACGACCGCAGUAAUGAUUAAGAGGGACAAUUGGGGGCAUCCGUAUUUCGUUGUCAGAGGUGAAAUUCUUGGAUUUACGAAAGACGAACAACUGCGAAAGCAUUUGCCAAGAGUGUUUUCAUUAAUCAAGAACG